Molecule: long non-coding RNA, 4632 nt
Filed under: Zostera marina
Lineage: Eukaryota; Viridiplantae; Streptophyta; Magnoliopsida; Alismatales; Zosteraceae
Description: long non-coding RNA (ZMAR_LNC001412)
Source: RNAcentral
ACUUCUAUCAUCCAACUGUUUGAUCGGUGGCAUUCUUCCCACCAGGAUGAUGUUGAAUUUACCCAAGCCCUUCAAUUCCACGAUCACUUCUUCCUUGGUACCCAUCCUCUUCUCUGCGUAAUUGAUUGAUGGGUUCGACGUAACAAUCUUGUUCUUGAACUGGGAAAUGGUAAUCUCAUCGGUGACAUCGAUGAAUUAAUACGUUUGGUUCAUCGUUAUAUCUUCGAAAGAAAAGCACGAAAACUCCGAUUCCCGGAUGUUCGGCGAUUCUGGAUCCGCCUAUGAAUACGACUGCAACAUUGAAAGAUAUUUCACUGGAGAAGACUUGAGAUGAUCCUCCGAGGCCACGGUCGAUGAGGAUCCCGACGGAACAGGUGGCGUGAAGUAAUACUUUCUGGUUCAGAUGUUAGUAGGAAUUCGAUCCCUAAAGACUCCAUAUCGUCGGCGAACCUUUGGUAUUUGUGAAAUGGAAGGAUUAUUAACGCCGCACAUUUCUGCUGAGAACUGUCGACGAUAUCCUCGUGGAUGUCUACGAGAUCGGAGAUCACCAUCAUGGAACGGAUUUUAACAUGGUUGAGUUGGUCGAAAGAUUUGAAUGCGACAGCGAUGGCGACGUUUUCUCCUUUAGAUCGACGAUUGUUCCAGAACGGAAGACCAUUAUUACGACGGGCCUUGUUUACCAACGAGAUAUCAGAAGGUAUUUCUGAGAGAUCCAUGAGGUGCAUGAAAUACAUAGUAAUCCCACGGCGAAGCAUUCCACGGGAGGACUCUACGAGGUUAAUCAUCCCAGAAAUUUCACGCAUGGUGUGGAAACGUGCUACGAAACGUAGCUCGUUUUCGAAGUCAGUACCUUGGACGGUCCGGUGCUUGUUUGAAAACUCCCGUAACUACCGGGGUGGGUGAUAAAGGUUGUGAAAAGAGCCAUGGUAACCAGAAUCGCAAAUGACUCGUCGUUCAGGACCCCACGGUCUUUCCCAAUGUUAAGCACGAUGAUCUCGACGAGCCCCUUUGCGUUCAUGAGGAACCCCAGAGCGACCGCUUAAUCAUUCGUCGAAAUCUUAAGAAUCAUGGAAAUAACGAUCGUUCCGACAAUCUUACCGAAGCAGGCGGUGACGAUGACUAACAUUAGAAGGCCCCAAGAUACCGGUCCGCUCAUCGUGGCUAUGUUUGUUUUCAGACCACUGAAGACGAAGUAGAGAGGUAGGAAAAUAAUGGAGAUGAGAUUUUAGAUCUUUUCUAUGAGAACUCCGGCGAGGGGACCUUUUUUAGGAAUGAUGAUCCCGAUUAUAAAAGCCCCGAACAGAGCAUGGAUUCCGAUCAUGUCGGUGUUGAAUCCACCCACAAGAACUUUGAGUAGAGUUAUACAUAUAUGAAUUUCUUUCACUUUCUCUCCAUUAGGUGAUUUGAAGGCCAACCAAAUGAUAAAUGGACAGAUGACCACCGUAGCAAAGACGACGAAGCCGAUUCUACAAAGAAAAACCAACAGACUUAUAAGAGGUGAUCCAGAACCCGAGAGUGAAACCACAAGAGCGAGUAUAUAGCUUUCGACAAUUGCUAUCAAUAUAGUUUUCUUUCCUGUGUGACGAAAUGCACGAAGAUCGAGUUCCAGACCGACGAGAAAAAGGAAGAACAACAGACCGAUGUUCUCGAUGGUGUCCAAGUUGAUCAUGCUACUAUCGGGAAAUAUAGUGUUCAUGUACACUGUACUUCGCCCCAUCCCCGACGGACCGAGAAGAACUCCUCCCUGUCAACAAACAAACGUCAAGAUCGUCGGAAAAUUCGAAAAUACAUGCAUGAAUUAUUAAAAAAAUUAAAAACGUACGAUGAUCUCGGCAACAACACGUGGUUGUCGUAAUGGUUUAAAAAUAUAAGAGAUGAUUCUGGUGACCGCAACAACGACGACGAUCUGUAAAAUUAUUAAAGGCAAAGAGAAAUCCAACGGAUUGUCUCCUUGAAAAGAUCCAUUUGACGUUGCUUUCUUCUUCGAUUGAAGAAUGCACGUUGUCGUAUCCAACAUCCAGCUCUUCGUCAUGUUCACCGCCAUGAACUUCCACUUGAUCUUCUGAUAUAACUCUUUUUGUUUAAUUUCUUUCAUUGAUCGAUGGAUGGAGGGGUUUCUUUAAAUGGGUCUUUGUUCUCUCCCUAACCAUCCAUCUAAAUCUCACACUAGAGGUGGUCUUGCAUUGGGUCACCCUCACCCCUAGUCUUCGAUUGUUGACGUGAUCAUUUAUGAGAUAUCAUUCAUUCUACAAUUAUCAGUUUUUUGUGAACUCGUUUUUGCUAGUGGUAGCGGUCAACCGGAUUCAAUCUUAUCACUUUGUUAAAUAUAGUUAGUUAGUAGUUUUUUAAUUCUAUAAAUAAUAACAUGGGUUAUCAUGUAAAGGCUUGACUUUUGAUUUUGUCAUUGGAUGAUUAGUUUGAAUAUCAAAUUAUUUGAUUAGAGUAAUUGUCAUUGUUGACUCUUCAACAUGGUAUCAGUUGAGUAUUUUUGAGUCUUGACAUUUACGUUUUUCUCCUCAAGCUGUUGCGAUUUUUUCUUUCUUGACCAAAAUAAAAAAAAGAAGGGAAAAGCUUCCGCGUCAUCUCGUUUCAGUGCGAUUUCGUUUUUCGAGCGAUUUCGUUGCGAUCCCGUGCGUCGUCUCGUUUCAGCCGGCGGCGUCGUCGUCGUUUCGAGCGAUUUCAGUCGUCGUCGUCGCGUUUCAUUGCGUCGCCUCGUCUUGUUCUUCCGCGACUGCAUCGCCUCGUCGUCUGACUUCGCGAUUCCUCGCCUCGUCGCCGCUGAUCCAAUCAUUCGUUGUCGCUGAUUCCGCGAUCCGUUUCAGUCAGUCGUCGUCUGAUUUUCGUCGCCUCGUCGCUGCGUGCUCUUGAUUUCAGUCACUGUGAUUUUCGUCGUUUGCCCCUGUGAUUUCAGUCACUGUGUUUUUUUCGUCGCUACUUCUUGAUUUCCGGUGAUUGUGCGCUCCUUAUUUUCUUGAUCUCAGAAGAUGGUUUCCUCUUCAUCAAAUCAAUUUGACGAUCUUCACAAGUGCAAUGUUGCACAUUGGAUUAGGGUUCUUCUUGAUCUUCAUCAGUCUAGGUAUGCAAUUAACAUUCUUGGCAAAAACAAUAUGUUAAACUGUAAACCUUGUAAAUACCCAGUUCUUCCAAAUUCAAAACUAUCUAAAGAUGAAGGGACAUUUGCACAAGAUGUUACUGGUUUUAGAGCAUUAGUAGGCUCUUUACAAUAUCUGUCACUCACCAGGCCAGAUCUCACUUACUCCAUUAACCAAGUCGCUCAAUUUGUGAAUGAACCAAAAACAUCACAUUGGGUUGCUGCUAAGAGAAUUCUAAGGUACAUCAAAGGCACACUUAGUCAUGGUCUGUAUUUUUCCAAAAAUAAAGAUGAUCAUCACAGAAUGAUUGGCUUCUGCGAUGCCGACUUUGCAGGUGAUCCAGAUACAAGGAAAUCCACUACUGGAUAUUGCCUAUUCAUUGGUGGAAAUUUGAUUACCUGGUCAUCAAAGAAACAAAAUACAGUUUCCAGAUCCAGUGCAGAGUCAGAAUAUAGAGCUUUGGCAUCUCUAGCAGCUGAGAUGAGAUGGUCACAUUUCGUUUGUAGGGAUUUAGGACACAAACUUAAACACAUCCCACUCAUACACAGUGACAACAAUUCAGCCAUUUUUAUGGCUAAAAAUCCAGUAAUAAAGAAGGUGGAUCUAAACAUAUUGAGACUGACAUUCAUUUUGUCAGAGAAUUAGUCACUAAAGGUUUUCUAGAAAUCAGACAUGUGAGCUCUUCUCAACAACUGGCAGACAUUUUUACUAAAGCAGUAUCUUAUGAUAUCUUCCCAAAUCUUUGUAGAAGAUUAAAAAUGAAAUUUACUCUAUGAUUUUCUCUCUGAAAUAUGUAUCUUAUUUUUUUUUUGUUUGUUGUUUCGGAAUAUCAUAAUAAUAAUUUGAUAAUAAUAUUCUUUGUGAUGAUCUACGAAUUCUGCUUUCUACUAUAUUUUUUUUUCUUCUCUUCUUUUCUUUCUGCUAUAUAUAAAAAAAAAACUCUGAUACUGCUAUAAAUUGUUGUGUUUACAGACGAUUAAGAGGACUAGCUCUAGCAGAUGCUUGUCUACUAAGGAUACUCUAAAGAUGGCUAUAACAAGUUUGUUUUGCUUGAAAUUUCUUUAUAUUUCUUAGUGGACAGUUAAGCAAGGAAAGGUUUUCCCAGAAUCAAAAUAAAGAUGCAAAAGAAUGAGAAGCACGCUGAGUUUUUAAUCCCUCUUUUGCUAUACUACACUUAAGGAAACAAAGCAUACAAAGAUUGGGAGGGGAUGUCAACCGGAUUCAAUCUUAUCACUUUGUUAAAUAUAGUUAGUUAGUAGUUUUUUAGCUCUAUAAAUAAUAACAUGGGUUAUCAUGUAAAGACUUGACUUUUGAUUUUGUCAUUGGAUGAUUAGUUUGAAUAUCAAAUACUUGAUUAGAGUAAUUGUCAUUGUUGACUCUUCAACAGUAGCCACAACUGUUCUUCGUCCUUCUCCGCAAAUGGCAGAAAUAAGCAAUCUCUUUUCUGGCGGCUAAUUCUCUCAACCAACCAUUAGAUAGAUCUUAUUCUGCCAGUUGUGGUUCCCCUUGUAAUGCAGUGCUCUGACCACCUUCAACAGAU